Molecule: ribosomal RNA, 253 nt
Filed under: uncultured bacterium
Lineage: Bacteria
Description: partial 16S ribosomal RNA
Rfam family: Bacterial small subunit ribosomal RNA
Source: RNAcentral
UACGUAGGUGGCAAGCGUUGUUCGGAAUUAUUGGGCGUAAAGGGCGCGUAGGCGGUUUUGUAAGUCGGCUGUGAAAGCCCGGGGCUCAACCCCGGAGGGUCGGCUGAUACUGCAAGACUGGAGUACGGAAGAGGUAGCUGGAAUUCCCGGCGUAGCGGUGGAAUGCGCAGAUAUCAGGAAGAACACCCGUGGCGAAGGCGGCUCUCUGGAACGCAACUGACGCUGAGACGCGAAAGCGUGGGGAGCAAACAGG